AUGAUUAUUUGGGUAAAUAUAAGGGAUCCCGUCCGAUCUGCGCAGUCAAACAUUGUAGGGCCGAGUCAGUAGUGCGGUGGGGGACCACGUGUGAAUACUCUGGUGCCCCAGGUA
This 114-nucleotide ribosomal RNA is filed under the name Melampsora larici-populina 98AG31. The record is from RNAcentral. Lineage: Eukaryota; Fungi; Basidiomycota; Pucciniomycetes; Pucciniales; Melampsoraceae.